Molecule: long non-coding RNA, 949 nt
Filed under: Elaeis guineensis (African oil palm)
Lineage: Eukaryota; Viridiplantae; Streptophyta; Magnoliopsida; Arecales; Arecaceae
Description: long non-coding RNA (EGUI_LNC043017)
Source: RNAcentral
CCAAUUGAGAUGACGUGGUCAUGUAGUAUACAUGUCUUAAGAGGCUCCAUUAAGGGGGGGGGACUCAAUGCUUUAUUAAAGGAAUUAGAACAAAAGGAGGAAGAUCUAAGGUAACACUAAUGGAAGUUUUGAGAUAGGAUAUUGAAAAGCUUCAAACAACAUUAAUAAGAAUGUAACAAAAAAAAAAAAACAACAUCAAUAAGAAUUCUUCGCGAAUGAGUAUUUCAGAAGUCUAAGAAAAUUGUUGGAACAAGAUUUGAUGGUUAUGGUUAUUAAACAAAAACUUGCAUUUAUCACUCUCUCUUAAGCCAUUCAUUCUAGAGUCCUGUUGCGCCACCCUAGUUUACCACACUUUGCCACUUUCAGCAAUGUCUUGUUGGAUACAUUUCAACCAUUGAGAGAAGGCAUUGAGAGAUUAAUGAGACCUAGCAACCCGAAAAACUCUAUUUUGGGUGGCUUACCGGCUUUUGAAACUCAUCCAGCCACUCACUUCCUAAGUGUUUCCUUUUUCUAUGAUCCUUCUGCUGGUGUGUGUGUGUGCGUGUGAGAGAGAGAGCGAGAGAGAGAUAGACAGACAGAAGGACAAAGAGAGAAAUGUUUCCCCAUACCUAUGCCUGAAUCCAUUCUUGCAUUUGACAAUCUAAAGAUUCAGGGCUCCCAAACAAAAUUUUUAACAUUUAUUUAUUAAAAAAAAGUCCGGAUCAUGAAUCUAGGGUAAUGAAAAUAUUUAAUCGAAUUAUACACCUUAGCUUUGUGGCUAGAGCAUCCCUGGAAGAAAUAAUUCAUAAGCAAAGCAACAUAGGCAGUAUGUUUCAGACUGUCUCAUAAUGUAGCUGCUAGAACUUCAAAAGCGAUGAAAUAAUUUCACCCAUUGAACGUGUGAAGACAACUCUUAGACACUAAUUCAGGAAUUUUCUAUGUGCAUUAAAUGUAAAGGCAAAGUCAGAGG